Molecule: ribosomal RNA, 504 nt
Filed under: uncultured bacterium
Lineage: Bacteria
Description: partial 16S ribosomal RNA
Rfam family: Bacterial small subunit ribosomal RNA
Source: RNAcentral
GAUGAACGCUAGCGGCAGGCCUAAUACAUGCAAGUCGAACGGGAUUGCGGUGUAGCUUGCUACACUGCAUGAGAGUGGCGCACGGGUGCGUAACGCGUGAGCAACCUACCCAUAUCAGGGGGAUAGCCCGGAGAAAUCCGGAUUAACACCGCAUGGGACAGUAUUACCGCAUGGUAUAGCUGUUAAAUAUUUAUAGGAUAUGGAUGGGCUCGCGUGACAUUAGCUAGUUGGUGGGGUAACGGCCCACCAAGGCGACGAUGUCUAGGGGCUCUGAGAGGAUAAUCCCCCACACUGGUACUGAGACACGGACCAGACUCCUACGGGAGGCAGCAGUAAGGAAUAUUGGUCAAUGGGCGGAAGCCUGAACCAGCCAUGCCGCGUGCAGGACGACUGCCCUAUGGGUUGUAAACUGCUUUUGUACGGGAAUAACCCUCUCUACGAGUAGAGAGCUGAACGUACCGUAAGAAUAAGGAUCGGCUAACUCCGUGCCAGCCGCCGCGGUAA